This 66-nucleotide transfer RNA is filed under the name Trigonopterus sp. 4 AH-2016. Its description in RNAcentral is "tRNA-Asn". The record is from RNAcentral. Lineage: Eukaryota; Metazoa; Arthropoda; Insecta; Coleoptera; Curculionidae.
UUAAUUGAAACCAAAACUAAGAGGUAUAUCACUGUUAAUGAUACAAUUGAAAAUCUUCCAAUUAAG